AUUGAUUUUAUGCUUGCAUAAAUGAUUUUUGGAUUCGGAGCGAGUGGCGAACUGGUGAGUAACACGUGGGUAACCUGCCCCGAAGCGGGGGAUAACAUUUGGAAACAAGUGCUAAUACCGCAUAAUUAGUUGGAACCGCAUGGUUCCAACUUGAAAGAUGGCUCUGCUAUCACUUUGGGAUGGACCCGCGCCGUAUUAGUUAGUUGGUGAGAUAAAAGCCCACCAAGACGAUGAUACGUAGCCGACCUGAGAGGGUAAUCGGCCACAUUGGGACUGAGACACGGCCCAGACUCCUACGGGAGACAGCAGUAGGGAAUCUUCCACAAUGGACGAAAGUCUGAUGGAGCAACGCCGCGUGAGUGAUGAAGGUUUUCGGAUCGUAAAACUCUGUUGUUAAAGAAGAACAAGUGUUAGAGUAACUGUUAACACUUUGACGGUAUUUAACCAGAAAGCCACGGCUAACUACGUGCCAGCAGCCGCGGUAAUACGUAGGUGGCAAGCGUUGUCCGGAUUUAUUGGGCGUAAAGCGAGCGCAGGCGGUUUUGUAAGUCUGCUGUGAAAGCCCUCAGCUCAACUGAGGGAGUGCAGUGGAAACUACAAAACUUGAGUACAGAAGAGGAAAGUGGAACUCCAUGUGUAGCGGUGAAAUGCGUAGAUAUAUGGAAGAACACCAGUGGCGAAGGCGGCUUUCUGGUCUGUUACUGACGCUGAGGCUCGAAAGCAUGGGUAGCGAACAGGAUUAGAUACCCUGGUAGUCCAUGCCGUAAACGAUGAAUACUAGGUGUUGGAGGGUUUCCGCCCUUCAGUGCCGCAGCUAACGCAUUAAGUAUUCCGCCUGGGGAGUACGACCGCAAGGUUGAAACUCAAAGGAAUUGACGGGGGCCCGCACAAGUGGUGGAGCAUGUGGUUUAAUUCGAUGCUACGCGAAGAACCUUACCAGCUCUUGACAUCUUCUGCCAACCCAAGAGAUUGGGCGUUCCCUUCGGGGACAGAAUGACAGGUGGUGCAUGGUUGUCGUCAGCUCGUGUCGUGAGAUGUUGGGUUAAGUCCCGCAACGAGCGCAACCCUUAUUAUUAGUUGCCAGCAUUUAGUUGGGCACUCUAGUGAGACUGCCGGUGAUAAA
RNAcentral lists this ribosomal RNA (1123 nucleotides) under uncultured bacterium. RNAcentral describes it as "bacterial SSU rRNA". It matches the Rfam family "Bacterial small subunit ribosomal RNA", at positions 47 to 1162 of the family's 1533-position model. The record is from RNAcentral.